Molecule: ribosomal RNA, 478 nt
Filed under: uncultured bacterium
Lineage: Bacteria
Description: partial 16S ribosomal RNA
Rfam family: Bacterial small subunit ribosomal RNA
Source: RNAcentral
GACGAACGCUGGCGGCGUGCUUAACACAUGCAAGUCGAACGGUAAGGCCCUUCGGGGUACACGAGUGGCGAACGGGUGAGUAACACGUGGGUGAUCUGCCCUGCACUUCGGGAUAAGCCUGGGAAACUGGGUCUAAUACCGGAUAGGACCACUGCCUGCAUGGGUGGUGGUGGAAAGCUUUUGCGGUGUGGGAUGGGCCCGCGGCCUAUCAGCUUGUUGGUGGGGUGAUGGCCUACCAAGGCGACGACGGGUAGCCGGCCUGAGAGGGUGACCGGCCACACUGGGACUGGGAUACGGCCCAGACUCCUACGGGAGGCAGCAGUGGGGAAUAAUGCACAAUGGGCGCAAGCCUGAUGCAGCGACGCCGCGUGAGGGAUGACGGCCUUCGGGUUGUAAACCUCUUUCAGCACCGACGAAGCGCAAGUGACGGUAGGUGCAGAAGAAGGACCGGCCAACUACGUGCCAGCCGCCGCGGUAA